GACGAACGCUGGCGGCGUGCUUAACACAUGCAAGUCGAACGAAGUGGCGAACGGGUGAGUAACGCGUAAUCAACCUGCCCUUCAGAGGGGGACAACAGUUGGAAACGACUGCUAAUCCCGCAUACUGAAGGAGGGGAUUGCGUCUGAUUAGCUAGGUGGGGGGGUAACGGCCCACCAAGGCGAUGGUCAGUAGCCGGGCGGAGAGGAUGAACGGCCACAUUGGGACUGAGACACGGCCCAGACUCCUACGGGAGGCAGCAGUGGGGAAUUUGGCACAAUGGGCGCAAGCCUGAUCCAGCCAUGCCGCGUGUCUGAAGAAGGCCUUCGGGUUGUAAAGGACUUUUGUUAGGGAAGCGGUACCUAAAGAAUAAGCACCGGCUAAUUCCGUGCCAGCAGCCGCGGUAAUAC
RNAcentral lists this ribosomal RNA (408 nucleotides) under uncultured bacterium. RNAcentral describes it as "partial 16S ribosomal RNA". It matches the Rfam family "Bacterial small subunit ribosomal RNA", at positions 28 to 526 of the family's 1533-position model. The record is from RNAcentral.